Molecule: long non-coding RNA, 2789 nt
Organism: Pipra filicauda (Wire-tailed manakin)
Lineage: Eukaryota; Metazoa; Chordata; Aves; Passeriformes; Pipridae
Exons: 3
Source: RefSeq, a predicted model, not a curated record
UGGAAGCUUCACAAAUCCCCACUGCUGUGAACAAGUUGCAAGUUACUGUACCAAGACCCGAAUACUAGUAGUUAUUUUGUCAUAUAAUAUCAGGAGGAGUAUUCCUUUUUAAUAGGCAAGACACGGAGGAGCUAUGCAAAAGGAGUCAUCCAGCACCACUACUAGAGGCGUUCCUGGGCCUGUCCCCCAGAAUUAGUCUCAGGUAUCAUCCUUUAAAUCAGCCCUAUGAAGCACAACAGAUUUAUGCAGCUAAAAGAAAAUACAGGCUCCUCCGUUAUUAAUAUGUAAAGUCUGGAGAUGAAGUCACAUCUGUAUGAUGAUCUAUUUUGGUGGACCACCUGUGCUUAAAUCCCAGGCUUGAUCUUUCAAACUAUUAAGUCUGCCAUAAAUAUUUGACAAUGAACAAGCUUAUAAAAACAAAAUGCAAAAUAUGAAUAGAGGGAGAGCAAAUGUGUGAUUCAAUUUUUAAUUAUCAGCACCACUACAUUCAAGUUCAUCUUCUUUAAGAGGCAGAAAGUAACAAACUUCUUUCUCACUAUAACCUAAAUGAUCAGCAUUGCAUUUGUUUGUAUUUUUAAAGGAAAAGGAUAAAUCAUUGUAGAAACAACAGAAGCUGGAAACAAGAAACAAAGUAGAACAGUCUGGUUUUAUUACCAUAUGUAAUCAAGAGCUUUUAUUUCCCAUUUCUCCUCCUUUUUUGUUUUUCUUUCUUGCCUUUUUUUUUUACAACCGACAUUAAGUUGUGAAUCAUAUGUUAGGGGGAAGUGGAAAUGAAGGGAAACUGGUGACAUCACAAUACUUUACAACUUUACAACAAAUGAGAGUCUGAAUUUGUUGCAUCUACCAGUGUAUAGCAAGGGUGGAAAGCAAAGGCACACAUAGGUUCAUGAACCCCUCAAAACAGAGGGUGGAAGGGAACUGGGGGUGGGAAAGGAUGAACACAGAAGACCCACUGAGUACGAAAUGCACAUUUCAAGGUCAACUCAUUAACUGUGAUGUACACUGCGAAGGCAGAUCUCUGCACAAGCUGUUGCCGUGAUUAUUCAUCUCUAUGUUUUGGGAGAAUGCUUUGAGGGAUAAUAUCAAGGGAACCUGCGUGUUUGGUGCUUCAGGGGUUUGGAGCUUGGUAAAAAGGUUGUGAGUUGGUUCUUUUAAAAAAAAUUACCUUGCUACCUACUGUUUUCAAAGGGUUUUCUGUUUGUUUUUAUUAAAACAACAACAUUGCUUUGGAUACAGAUCUAUCUACUCCAGUCUGCAUAGUUCACUACGGGUGAACAAAACUGUUUCAUAAAAGAAGCCAUGAUGAAUUGAAAGAACAUGCAAGCACCCUUGUUACACACUUUGGUGUAGACUAUCCAGACUUUAUAUAUACCAUCUAUAAACUAACGGACUUAAAAUCGAUCUUUUCAAUCAUUCAGAAACAAAACCAAAACCCUGAAAAACAAAUGGAAGUAUAAAAUUUUAAAAAACAAAUUGAAACAGAAACAACCACCUUACUCGAACAUACUGUUCAGUAGAGAUAUAUAUAUAUAUAUAUAAAAAGCUUAGAAGCGAUCCCCAUCAUUUUUCUACAGUAUGUUGACACAGUUAUUGUAACAGAUUAAAAACACAACUACGUUUUUGCAUAAACUGAAAGACUGGAAAGGAACUUACACACCUGCGCGCGCGCACACACACACACGCACACACCUGGGCGCGCACACACUCCCACACUAGCUACGUGCACAGUCACACAAAAGAAACAAAGGAAAAAAACCCCGCGUUUUUCCCCAAAGAAGUAUAUGCAGCAUCCUUCUGGAGCAGCAGGUAGCUACAGCAGGAGCCUGCCUGCCUGUCCUAGCUCCAUGUGCCCUGCAGGCAGCAGGAUGUGUGGCUGGGCUUUCGGCAGGGCUUGGCCCCUCUCACCGGUGCUCAUCCCUGGCCAGGGGACAUACCAGCUCCGUGGACAUCAUUAGUCAUUUCCCUGCUGCCCAGUGAGAAUGAUCUCCAUGCUGUAAAAGGGGAGCGGGAGGCGGGGCAAGGCAGAACCCCCAGCAUGGUGCAUUGGGAGCAUCACCACUUGUGGGUGGUUUUGAGAGAGGACUUGGCACAGCUAGAAAGUCAAACUGCAGUGGAGGGUAUGGUGCUAGCCUAGUUUCUUUAGGGAUGUGGGGUUAUGACAAUAACCACCACGUUCUUUCAAUGUCUUUACUCCAGUUUUUGAAGGGGCUUGGUGGAGAAGGAAGGAUCAAUAAAUAUUUGCAUUACUCAAAGGGGAAAAAGAAAAAGGUUUUACAUACUACAGCUCACAAAUAUACACAACUGAGGGUGUAAGGCACAAAUUUACAUGUGGAAGAAAACAGGCUAUUCACAGAUAUAUUCCCACGAAAAACCCGUGUGAUAAGACCAUAAUUUAUGCAUGGUAACAGCCGGCAUAUUAGCUAGUUCACACUGUUUGAGGAUUUUGUUUGCCGUCUCACAUGCAAGGUGAAAUGAGAUGGCACAUCACAAGCUGGUGCCUUCACAGAAAGUAUUAGCUACUGACAAAGCCAUGUUGAUAGCAAUGGUGCACAGAUGUGCAGCUUUUAAGAUUCUCUUGCAGUUGCUUUAGAAGUUAUGAACUUGCAGUAUUUGUUGCUGUCUUAGGUCAGAGGCCCAGCCAGCUAAUUAGCUGAGAGACUUAAAUAGAUAUCCCCUUUUUUUUUCAGCUAACCAGGCAGUCCAGGCACAAAGUUCAGAAUUCCAGCUCCAACUUAUCUAACUCAGUAAAUUUCUUGGAAAAAUAAAAGAGUUCUAAUUACUCCAGUUAA